This 433-nucleotide ribosomal RNA is filed under the name uncultured bacterium. RNAcentral's name for it is "partial 16S ribosomal RNA". It matches the Rfam family "Bacterial small subunit ribosomal RNA", at positions 29 to 507 of the family's 1533-position model. The record is from RNAcentral.
AACGAACGCUGGCGGCAUGCCUAACACAUGCAAGUCGAACGAGACCUUCGGGUCUCGUGGCGCACGGGUGCGUAACGCGUGGGAACCUGCCCUUAGGUUCGGAAUAACUCCCCGAAAGGGGUUCUAAUACCGGAUAAUGUCUUCGGACCAAAGAUUUAUCGCCUUUGGAUGGGCCCGCGUUGGAUUAGCUAGUUGGUAGGGUAAAAGCCUACCAAGGCGACGAUCCAUAGCUGGUCUGAGAGGAUGAUCAGCCACACUGGGACUGAGACACGGCCCAGACUCCUACGGGAGGCAGCAGUGGGGAAUAUUGGACAAUGGGCGAAAGCCUGAUCCAGCAAUGCCGCGUGAGUGAUGAAGGCCUUAGGGUUGUAAAGCUCUUUUACCCGGGAUGAUAAUGACAGUACCGGGAGAAUAAGCGCCGGCUAACUCCGUG